This 465-nucleotide ribosomal RNA is filed under the name Vreelandella stevensii. RNAcentral describes it as "partial 16S ribosomal RNA". It matches the Rfam family "Bacterial small subunit ribosomal RNA", at positions 338 to 795 of the family's 1533-position model. Lineage: Bacteria; Pseudomonadati; Pseudomonadota; Gammaproteobacteria; Oceanospirillales; Halomonadaceae. The record is from RNAcentral.
CCUACGGGUGGCUGCAGUGGGGAAUAUUGGACAAUGGGCGAAAGCCUGAUCCAGCCAUGCCGCGUGUGUGAAGAAGGCCUUCGGGCUGUAAAGCACUUUCAGUGGGGAAGAAAGCCUUGGGGCUAAUACCCUCGAGGAAGGACAUCACCCACAGAAGAAGCACCGGCUAACUCCGUGCCAGCAGCCGCGGUAAUACGGAGGGUGCGAGCGUUAAUCGGAAUUACUGGGCGUAAAGCGCGCGUAGGCGGUCUGAUAAGCCGGUUGUGAAAGCCCCGGGCUCAACCUGGGAACGGCAUCCGGAACUGUCAGGCUAGAGUGCAGGAGAGGAAGGUAGAAUUCCCGGUGUAGCGGUGAAAUGCGUAGAGAUCGGGAGGAAUACCAGUGGCGAAGGCGGCCUUCUGGACUGACACUGACGCUGAGGUGCGAAAGCGUGGGUAGCAAACAGGAUUAGAUACCCGGGUAGUC